This 209-nucleotide long non-coding RNA is filed under the name Elaeis guineensis (African oil palm). RNAcentral describes it as "long non-coding RNA (EGUI_LNC021265)". The record is from RNAcentral. Lineage: Eukaryota; Viridiplantae; Streptophyta; Magnoliopsida; Arecales; Arecaceae.
CCCAACUCUGAUAAGGAAUUGUUUUGAUGAAAUCUGACGCAUUUGAUGGUGAUCCAAUGGCCAAAAACUAGUUUUACAAUUAGGACGCAGUUGGGACAUGGGAUGAGUGGUUUAAUGCAGUAAGGAGUCCUAAUACGUGAAAGGCUAAGAGAUUUGAUACGGCCAAGACUUGGGGGGUUAUGAAGGCUAUAUAAAAAGAGGUCCCAGGG